This 1885-nucleotide unclassified non-coding RNA is filed under the name Homarus americanus (American lobster). Its description in RNAcentral is "alpha-1,3-mannosyl-glycoprotein 4-beta-N- acetylglucosaminyltransferase C-like, transcript variant X2". Lineage: Eukaryota; Metazoa; Arthropoda; Malacostraca; Decapoda; Nephropidae. The record is from RNAcentral.
ACACACGUUUUCUCUUACAGAUUUGUUUGUGACGAUGAGCACAACGCCCGCUCCCAUUGUCCUCGUCUUAGUGUCUGCCCUUCUGCUUACCUGCAACGUCUUCUGGUUGUAUUCCUCAACCACACAAACAGGGGUGAGUUGUCCUCCUCCAUCACCACCACCACCACCACACACAACAACCACAGAGGUCUAUGCGUUACCUCACCAUCGGCAUAUCGUCAGUGUGGAGGAAAGACGACUACCUCACGAGGACCAUCGACUCUAUCCUCAAGGAGACGACCGAACAGGAGCGGGCUGACGUGCUGAUCUUCCUCCUCCUGGCUGACGCUGACUCCAAUCUUAGGACCCAGCGAGCCCUGGACCUGGGUGUGAGGUACAACAGGGAGAUACAGUCUGGCCUCCUGCGAGUACUGCAGCCCCCCGCCGUCCUCUACCCCAGCAUAGACUUCACCGCCAUCAGGAGAACCUACAAUGACUCCGUCGCCAGGGUGCAGUGGAGGACCAAACAGGUGUUGGAUUUCGCAUUCCUGUUCUGGUAUGUAUGGACGCAUCACCCCUCAACCUACUACUUGGUGCUCGAGGACGAUGUACUCAGCGCCAAACACUUCGUCACGGCUAUCAAGGAUUUCGUCACGCUACACAAAGGUCACCACUGGAUCUCUUUACAGCUGGCCGGGUUCUUGGGUAUCGGUCAGUUAGUUCGGUGUAGUGACCUCGACCGUCUGGUGUCGUUCUUGUUGCUGUUUUACCGCGAGCAUCCCGUCGACGUUCUAAUCAACCAGUGGAUCAACCUCAUGGCCCCGGAGAAGCCCCCCAAAGACCGCCCCACCAGGAGGGUCCCCGGCCUCUUCCAGCACAUUGGCGUCCACUCCACCCUGGCCAACAAGACCCAGUCACUCAAGGACAACACCUUCAGCCUGGUGAAGCGUCGGUUCUCCCACGUCAACCCAACAGCCGACGUGGUGACGACGAUCCGCCAGUACAAGGCCUACCUGGCGGAGCACGCGUACUCCUCCGCCCCGGGCAUGUUCUGGGGUAUACCUAAGCCAGGCGACACCUUCGACAUCCUGUUCUCCGAGCCCCUCAAGAUCUCCAGGGUGGUGGUGCUCACUGGGGCCGCCAUUAACAAGAAGAUUCGUGACCGCCUUCUGUACGGCAGCUUGGAGGUGUCCUCAACCUUCGUCAAGAUGGAGACCCCCAAACGGGCCUUGUGUAAGAGUUUCUCAUCUGUCGGGGAAUUCAAGAAUGGUGAGUUAGACGUCAGGAGCCUGAGGGAGACGCACCACAAAGGUAUUCAGUGCCUCAGAAUAGCCAUCGGCAUGAAGCAGAAAUCCUGGGUAGCCAUCACAGAGGUGGCAGUGUUUACUGAGGACGACCUGGAGGGAGGAGACGCCCACCACACCUCCUUGACCGCGACCACACUCCAGUUCACACAGGACAACACCGUUUAAUAAUGGUGAAGUCUUGACGCUAAGGAAGCAUCAGUAGGUGGCAGUGACCUGCUCGGGGACGUGAGAAUGUUUCUACUAGACACACUGAUGGCUGCUGUACCACCUCCCGGGUCCACUGACUAAGACUGUGACCAACACAAACUUGUCUGGUUAUUGACUGCAAGUUUCUAGAAGCAGUGAACCAAAAGAACAAAAAAACAGUAUAAUAGUUGUUCAGUAUGAAGCCCUGACAGGACUCUGGCUGGGAGGGAGAGCACGAGUCACCUCUCUCAAGGUUCACGAUAAAAGACUAAGUCUGAUGAGUUAUUAUACAACAGCGAGAACAACGUUGGAGUAAAGGUUUAGCGAACAGUUGUUUUCUUCCGUGAGAGCUGGUGGUGGUGAUAGUGGUGGUGAUAGUGGUGGUGAUAGUGGUGGUGAUGGUGGUGGUGGUG